UACAGAGGGUGCGAGCGUUGUCCGGAACCACUGGGCGUAAAGGGCGCGUAGGUGGCUUGCUAAGCGUGUGGUGAAAGCCCGGGGCUCAACCCCGGGUCGGCCGUGCGAACUGGCGAGCUGGAGCACUGUAGAGGCAGGUGGAAUUCCGGGUGUAGCGGUGGAAUGCGUAGAGAUCCGGAAGAACACCGGUGGCGAAGGCGGCCUGCUGGGCAGUUGCUGACACUGAGGCGCGACGAGCGUGGGGAGCAAACAGG
RNAcentral lists this ribosomal RNA (254 nucleotides) under uncultured bacterium. RNAcentral's name for it is "partial 16S ribosomal RNA". It matches the Rfam family "Bacterial small subunit ribosomal RNA", at positions 524 to 776 of the family's 1533-position model. The record is from RNAcentral.